RNAcentral lists this ribosomal RNA (468 nucleotides) under uncultured bacterium. RNAcentral's name for it is "partial 16S ribosomal RNA". It matches the Rfam family "Bacterial small subunit ribosomal RNA", at positions 28 to 507 of the family's 1533-position model. The record is from RNAcentral.
GACGAACGCUGGCGGCGUGCUUAACACAUGCAAGUCGAACGGAAAGGCCCUGCUUUUGUGGGGUGCUCGAGUGGCGAACGGGUGAGUAACACGUGAGUAACCUGCCCUUGACUUUGGGAUAACUUCAGGAAACUGGGGCUAAUACCGGAUAGGAGCUCCUGCUGCAUGGUGGGGGUUGGAAAGUUUCGGCGGUUGGGGAUGGACUCGCGGCUUAUCAGCUUGUUGGUGGGGUAGUGGCUUACCAAGGCUUUGACGGGUAGCCGGCCUGAGAGGGUGACCGGCCACAUUAGGACUGAGAUACGGCCCAGACUCCUACGGGAGGCAGCGGUGGGGAGUAUUACACAAUGGGCGGAAGCCUGGUGCAGCAACGCCGCGUGCGGGAUGACGGCCUUCGGGUUGUAAACCGCUUUCGCCUGUGACGAAGCGUGAGUGACGGUAAUGGGUGAAGAAGCACCGGCUAACUACGUG